GACGAACGCUGGCGGCGUGCUUAACACAUGCAAGUCGAACGGAAAGGCCCUGCUUUUGUGGGGUGCUCGAGUGGCGAACGGGUGAGUAACACGUGAGUAACCUGCCCUUGACUUUGGGAUAACUUCAGGAAACUGGGGCUAAUACCGGAUAGGAGCUCCUGCUGCAUGGUGGGGGUUGGAAAGUUUCGGCGGUUGGGGAUGGACUCGCGGCUUAUCAGCUUGUUGGUGGGGUAGUGGCUUACCAAGGCUUUGACGGGUAGCCGGCCUGAGAGGGUGACCGGGGAAACGGGGAGUGAGAUAGGGCCCAGAGGGGUAGGCGGGGGAGGAGGGGGGAAGGGGGCAAAAUGGGCGGACGGCUGAUGCAGCAAUGCCGCGUGUGGGAGGACGUCAUGGGGGGUGGAAAGAGCAGAAGCAGGGGACGAAGCGUGAGUGACGGUAAUGGGUAAAGAAGGAAAGGCCAACUAGGUG
Molecule: ribosomal RNA, 468 nt
Filed under: uncultured bacterium
Lineage: Bacteria
Description: partial 16S ribosomal RNA
Rfam family: Bacterial small subunit ribosomal RNA
Source: RNAcentral